RNAcentral lists this ribosomal RNA (274 nucleotides) under uncultured bacterium. RNAcentral's name for it is "partial 16S ribosomal RNA". It matches the Rfam family "Bacterial small subunit ribosomal RNA", at positions 523 to 796 of the family's 1533-position model. The record is from RNAcentral.
AUACGGAGGGUGCGAGCGUUGUUCGGAAUUAUUGGGCGUAAAGAGCAUGUAGGCGGUCUGUUAAGUCUGGUGUGAAAGCCCGGGGCUCAACCCCGGAAGUGCAUUGGAUACUGGCAGACUUGAGUAUGGGAGAGGAAAGCGGAAUUCCGAGUGUAGGAGUGAAAUCCGUAGAUAUUCGGAGGAACACCAGUGGCGAAGGCGGCUUUCUGGACCAAUACUGACGCUGAGAUGCGAAAGCGUGGGGAGCGAACAGGAUUAGAAACCCAAGUAGUCC